CAGUCGCCGCGGUAAUACGUAGGGUGCAAGCGUUAAUCGGAAUUACUGGGCGUAAAGCGUGCGCAGGCGGUUUGUUAAGACAGAUGUGAAAUCCCCGGGCUCAACCUGGGAACUGCAUUUGUGACUGGCAAGCUAGAGUCUGGCAGAGGGGGGUGGAAUUCCGCGUGUAGCAGUGAAAUGCGUAGAUAUGCGGAGGAACACCGAUGGCGAAGGCAGCCCCCUGGGCCAACACUGACGCUCAUGCACGAAAGCGUGGGGAGCAAACAGGAUUAGAGACCCCCGUAGUCCCUGUCUCUUAUAC
This 301-nucleotide ribosomal RNA is filed under the name uncultured bacterium. RNAcentral's name for it is "partial 16S ribosomal RNA". It matches the Rfam family "Bacterial small subunit ribosomal RNA", at positions 509 to 807 of the family's 1533-position model. The record is from RNAcentral.